GAUGAACGCUGGCGGCGUGCCUAAUACAUGCAAGUCGAGCGAACAGAUAAGGAGCUUGCUCCUUUGACGUUAGCGGCGGACGGGUGAGUAACACGUGGGUAACGUACCUAUAAGACUGGAAUAACUCCGGGAAACCGGGGCUAAUGCCGGAUAACAUUUAGAACCGCAUGGUUCUAAAGUGAAAGAUGGUUUUGCUAUCACUUAUAGAUGGACCCGCGCCGUAUUAGCUAGUUGGUAAGGUAACGGCUUACCAAGGCAACGAUACGUAGCCGACCUGAGAGGGUGAUCGGCCACACUGGAACUGAGACACGGUCCAGACUCCUACGGGAGGCAGCAGUAGGGAAUCUUCCGCAAUGGGCGAAAGCCUGACGGAGCAACGCCGCGUGAGUGAUGAAGGUCUUCGGAUCGUAAAACUCUGUUAUUAGGGAAGAACAAAUGUGUAAGUAACUGUGCACGUCUUGACGGUACCUAAUCAGAAAGCCACGGCUAACUACGUG
RNAcentral lists this ribosomal RNA (497 nucleotides) under uncultured bacterium. Its description in RNAcentral is "partial 16S ribosomal RNA". It matches the Rfam family "Bacterial small subunit ribosomal RNA", at positions 28 to 507 of the family's 1533-position model. The record is from RNAcentral.